GUGGGGAAUAUUGGGCAAUGGGGGAAACCCUGACCCAGCGACGCCGCGUGAGGGAAGACGGCCUUCGGGUUGUAAACCUCUUUUGUACGGGAAGAAGGAAGUGACGGUACUGUACGAAUAAGUCCCGGCUAACUACGUGCCAGCAGCCGCGGUAAUACGUAGGGGACGAGCGUUGUCCGGAAUUACUGGGCGUAAAGGGCGCGCAGGCUGUGCUGCAAGUCAGCUGUGAAAUGUCUGGGCUUAACCCGGGCAUGCGGUUGAGACUGCAGUGCUGGAGUGCUGUAGAGGCAAGUGGAAUUCCCAGUGUAGCGGUGAAAUGCGUAGAUAUUGGGAAGAACACCGGUGGCGAAGGCGACUUGCUGGGCAGCAACUGACGCUGAGGCGCGAAAGCCAGGGGAGCAAACGGGAUUAGAAACCCUGGUAGUCC
This 427-nucleotide ribosomal RNA is filed under the name uncultured bacterium. Its description in RNAcentral is "partial 16S ribosomal RNA". It matches the Rfam family "Bacterial small subunit ribosomal RNA", at positions 354 to 796 of the family's 1533-position model. The record is from RNAcentral.